UGUUUGUGUCCCUGGGUACUUGAGAUUAGGGAGUGGUGAUGACUCUUAACGAGCAUGCUGCCUUCAAGCAUCUGUUUAACAAAGCACAACUUGCACCGCCCUUAAUCCAUUUAACCCUGAGUGGACGCAGCACGUGUUUCAGAGAGCACAGGGUUGGGGGUAAGGUUAGUACGUAAUUAAAAUCUCUUACUUGUCGGGCUUUUCACCAAAAAUGAAAGUUGCUAAGGGUUAACAUUGUAACAUGUGAUUGAGACUACUGGAGAAAUGGUUUUACAUCCAAAGUGUGUAGGGAUAGUAGGAUGUGUUUUUGGUAAAAGAUUGUAAGUCGGCAUGGAAAUGUGGCUUUUGUUAAAGAGAAUAUAAUUUUGUCUAGUUUAGAGGAAUUUAAAGAUUGUCUUAACCUAAAAGAGUAUUGGGACAAAACUGAAGGUUUAAGCAAGUUGAAAAGGGUUUGUGAAGAGUUGGCCUUAUGAAGAAAGUUCUGUGGGUAUGAGUAAGUUGGCUAAGAUUUGAAGGGGAUUAUUUAAUUUUUUUCCACAUGUUGAAUAUUAAAAUAAAAGCACAUUAAUGCGGGGCCAGAAUCUGGGCCCAUGUGUCCGAAUAACAGAGUUUUCUUAGAAAACUGAGAUGCUGUUUAAAGGGUUCUAAAAAAUUUAUAAAAAUCUUACCUUAUGGUCAAACUAAUUAAAACUGAAUAGAUUGAUAAACUUUUAUUUAGAAACUAGCUAUAACAUUAAAGAUGCAAUAAUGCAAACAUGAAAUUUGGUUUUCUCUCUUUUUUCUUUUUUCAAUAAAUCAAGGUUUUUAUUUUAAUUUUUUAAUUUUUCUAUUUUUUGAGACAGUUUUCUCUUUCCUGGAUUUCUCUUUUGAGAAAGAUUUUUAUGUAAUAUUAAAAGAUAAUGAAAGGUUUUUGUUUUCCCCUUUGGGUAAAUGGCAGGGAGAGAGAAGAGACAGAUUCAGUUGGCCUCAUGCUAUCUUCAUUGGGUCUUGUUUGGAAAGCUAAGUCUGUUCUAUCAGAGUAAAGGUUUUCGUCUUAAAAAAUUUUUUUUUGAGUUACCACUUCAGAUAAAUGAGCAACCUGUGAUUCUAUUUUGUGAUAUAGUGUUCGAAACCUUUGAUAUUUGACAAACUUUCCAAAAUUAAAUUAAAAAAUAUAUCAUUUUCUGACCUAAUCAAUCCUUUUAGAUAUUAGGUCCUCUGAAGUCCAAAAAUGAUGUGUUUGGCUUAUUUGGUAUAAAAAUCAUACAGGAAGCAUUGUCAAAUAUGAAAUGGUAUUUGGCUAUCUUUGGGCUGUACUUAUAUAAAUAUGUUAUUAGUAUUAUUUUCAAAAUUAUUGGAAACUUCUAUAAUUCUGAUGUGAUUUAGGGUACAUUAUGUAAAAUUGUUGUAUGCCACAGAAGUGACCAAAAUUUCUAGUCAAUUGAGCUUUAAUAGUGGCUGUUGUAAGACUUUUGUCAUCCACAGACAUUUUGUCUGGCUUUGGUCCUUUUCAAAAGGCAGUUUAUAGUCAGAUAUAGGACUCUGAGUGCAGGCCUCUGAUAACUUUAAAAAUUGUGCAAUUGGAAUAGAGGAAAAACUGAAACUUCUGGGACUCUCAUGGAGAGCUGAUGUGUUAAACAUUGCUAAUCCUUUUGUUUUCAGAAUUAAGGAAACUUAUUUCUUUUGAGCUAUUUACAACUUUUAGCAAGUGUGUAAAGUAUACUCCUGGGAGCAAAAUUUGAAGCAUAUUGCUUUCUCUUUACCUGAUUUCUAUGGAAUUUAGAAACUACUUGUGAGUAUUCUCAACUUAUGGCAGUAUAGUUAUUUGAAUAAGUGCAAUGAGAAUCUGUUCUCUUCUGAAACAAGACACAAUUGGAGAAACUGGUUAUUUUACCAAGGCUUUGACUAAAAUGACAUGCUUUCUUUAGGGAAUCAAAGUGGACUUAUAAAGCCAAUAAAGCCCCUUGGGAAAGCUGGCCUCAUGCAUUGUCUACAGAGUCCUUGUACAGAGUUCCUGACCAGUGGUAAGUAAAGAAUGUCGCUUUCUGACAGGCCCAGGAGCCCCAAGUUAUCUUGAGACCUUGAGAUGAGGAAUUCACAGGUGUUUGGAGGCAUAGAUAAAUCCAUGGCUGGGCUUCAAGGCUUUUAAAAAGUACAACCUGAGAUUCUUUAUAGAACAGUUUCAGCAAAGCCAAUAUUAAAAAGAGCCUAUGUGAAAAAUAAUUAUUCUUGCUACACUUUAUGCAAAUAAUCAGGCCAAAUAUGAUAAGACUAAAGUUUAUUUUGUGAACAGAUCAGUUCUAUCAUGAUGUGUUUUUGAUAAAAAUAGGGACUGGACGGGAGGCUGAGGCAGGAGAAUGGCGUGAACCCGGGAGGCGGAGCUUGCAGUGAGCCGAGAUCGCGCCACUGCAGUCAGCCUGGGCGACAGAGCGAGACUCUUGUCUCAAAAAAAAAAAAAAAAAAAAAAAAAAGGGACUGGAGAGAGAAAAAUUAUGCUUCAAAAAACUAUAGUACAUCUGUUGUUAGUUGUUCUUCAGUUUUUUUCUGCAGUUUGGACUAAAUCUUAAAUUCUUUGUGGGCUGCAAGUCCCCAAACUAGAGCUUUCAAAUCUUUGCUUUUAAAACUGGAAAUCACACUCCUUAUCUUAGUACUCAUUAUUUACCUUAUAAUGUGCUGUUCCCUUAAAUGUGGUACUAAAAUUAUAGAUGGCAAUACUAAUGCCUUUGUCAUAGAAGCCUUAGAAUCCCAGCCAGGCCUGUGUGAGUAUGCUCAGACAGUUGCAAAGUGAUUUCACUCCUCUCACCUUGGGGUCAACACCUACCCCCACUACACCCCUGGUCAGCAGGAAGAAUUUAGAGGGGUCUUCGCCCUUUUCCCAUCUUCAUUAGCUAACACCUUAAGAUUAAGGUGUUAUAAAAUCCAAAGGGAGAGAUUGAAACCACCAUUGCAAAAUUGUAACUGAGACAGUGAAAAGAGAUCUGACCUAACCAAUUCCAUCUUGCUUCUAACCUCCAAGCUGUUCUUGUUCAUUCCUGGGCAUAGGCUGAACUAACUUUGGGAAGAACUUAAUUUAUAGUUCAUAGCUUAAAACAAAGGUGAUAACAGGCCUUUUCCAAGGCAAACCCCCUUCAUGCCUGGGGACUAGACUGCCUUUGUGGGACUAACAAAUUAGCCACAAGAUUAGAAAUUAUGGUUCAGGAAUCAUACAGCUGAGGCUACAAGAUUCUGACUCUAUCUAAACUGCUCCUAAUAUCAGUGCUUGAGAUAUUUUACAGUCUCUGCACUUGAUGGAUCAGCUGGCACCACCAGAUGAAUAAACUGGCUCAUCUGAUCUUGUGGUCCCCACCCAGGAACUGACUCAGUGCAAGAAGACAGCUUCUACUCCCUGUGAUUUCAUCUCUGACCUGACCAAUCAGCACUCCCAGCUCACUAACU
RNAcentral lists this long non-coding RNA (3414 nucleotides) under Homo sapiens (human). RNAcentral describes it as "long non-coding RNA NONHSAT158788.1". Lineage: Eukaryota; Metazoa; Chordata; Mammalia; Primates; Hominidae. The record is from RNAcentral.